ACGAACGCUGGCGGCAUGCCUAACACAUGCAAGUCGAACGAGCCUUUCGGGGCUAGUGGCGCACGGGUGCGUAACGCGUGGGAAUCUGCCCUUAGGUACGGAAUAACUCAGGGAAACUUGUGCUAAUACCGUAUGAUGUCUUCGGACCAAAGAUUUAUCGCCUAGGGAUGAGCCCGCGUUGGAUUAGCUAGUUGGUGGGGUAAAGGCCUACCAAGGCGACGAUCCAUAGCUGGUCUGAGAGGAUGAUCAGCCACACUGGGACUGAGACACGGCCCAGACUCCUACGGGAGGCAGCAGUGGGGAAUAUUGGACAAUGGGCGAAAGCCUGAUCCAGCAAUGCCGCGUGAGUGAUGAAGGCCUUAGGGUUGUAAAGCUCUUUUACCCGGGAAGAUAAUGACUGUACCGGGAGAAUAAGCCCCGGCUAACUCCGU
This 431-nucleotide ribosomal RNA is filed under the name uncultured bacterium. RNAcentral's name for it is "bacterial SSU rRNA". It matches the Rfam family "Bacterial small subunit ribosomal RNA", at positions 29 to 506 of the family's 1533-position model. The record is from RNAcentral.